AUCUCUUCUUGGCCUUUUGGCUAAGAUCAAGUGUAGUAUCUGUUCUUAACCAGUUUAAUAUCUGAUAUGUCCUCUAUCGGAAGACUGUAUAUUAAAUGGAUUUUUGGAGCAGGAAGUUGGAAUAGAAGCUUGCUCCAUCCACUCUGUGCGUCGUCCUGGUAUUGGAGAUACAGUGCAUGAGUC
Small nuclear RNA from Oryctolagus cuniculus (rabbit), 183 nucleotides. Its record names the gene U2. It matches the Rfam family "U2 spliceosomal RNA". From Rfam's summary of the family: U2 is a small nuclear RNA (snRNA) component of the spliceosome (involved in pre-mRNA splicing). Complementary binding between U2 snRNA (in an area lying towards the 5' end but 3' to hairpin I) and the branchpoint sequence (BPS) of the intron results the bulging out of an unpaired adenosine, on the BPS, which initiates a nucleophilic attack at the intronic 5' splice site, thus starting the first of two transesterification reactions that mediate splicing. The record is from Ensembl. NCBI's taxonomy places the organism in Eukaryota, Metazoa, Chordata, Mammalia, Lagomorpha, Leporidae.